AUUGAACGCUGGCGGCAGGCCUAACACAUGCAAGUCGAGCGAGCGGCGGACGGGUGAGUAAUGUCUGGGAAACUGCCCGAUGGAGCGGGAGAACUACUGGAAACGGUAGCUAAUACCGCAUACCCUCAGAUGUGCCCAGAUGGGAUUAGCUAGUAGGUGGGGUAACGGCGCACCCAGGCGAAGAUCCCGAGCUGGUCUGAGAGGAUGACCAGCAACACUGGAAAUGAGACACGGUCCAGACGCCUACGGGAGGCAGCAGUGGGGAAUAUUGCACAAUGGGCGCAAGCCUGAUGCAGCCAUGCCGCGUGUGUGAAGAAGGCCUUCGGGUUGUAAAGCACUUUCAGCGGGGAGGCGUUACCUGCAGAAGAAGCACCGGCUAACUCCGUGCCAGCCGCCGCGGUAAUAC
RNAcentral lists this ribosomal RNA (406 nucleotides) under uncultured bacterium. RNAcentral describes it as "partial 16S ribosomal RNA". It matches the Rfam family "Bacterial small subunit ribosomal RNA", at positions 29 to 526 of the family's 1533-position model. The record is from RNAcentral.